RNAcentral lists this long non-coding RNA (1636 nucleotides) under Homo sapiens (human). RNAcentral describes it as "HSALNT0059263". Lineage: Eukaryota; Metazoa; Chordata; Mammalia; Primates; Hominidae. The record is from RNAcentral.
UUUUCCAGAUAUGAUUGUUGAUGACUGAUUUCUGAGCAAUGAUGUCAAUGAAAAGUUAUAACUUUAGAAUCACCAUGGCAACAACACAUCAUCAGUGAGGAGUGAUGACAGCAAAAUGACAGAGAAAAAGUUCUCCAGCUUCUCUCCACUGCACUCCUACAGAAUUUCAACUGGCAAUUAUCUAGUGGCAAGGUUACCACCUGAAUAUCCCAGAAGUUGGGAGCAAAAGUGUGUCAUUCCAUUGGACCACAGAGCUGAGAAAAAACAUAGUGAAGUGAUAAGAGAAAUGAAAUGUGCUCUGUGACCACAAUGGCCACACCCCCAAACUUACACAGCACCACAAGCAGAAAAGUCCUCUGUAUGUACAGUUUCUACAGUGAAAAAAGUGAAGUAGAGGUGGGCAUUCAGCUUUCCCACCAUUCUGAGACUUUUAUGCAGGAGGAUCUCUCCAGUCCUUUCCCAUGGGAGGCAUUGCAAGUGCGAAUAGGACUAGCCCAACAUGGGUCAAUUAGAAACAAAGAAUAGGGGUUGAGUGCACAGCAGCCAAUUCAUAAGCCUUGGUGCCAGCCUCUACAGAACUGGGCUUAGGCUACCCUCUAUUGCUACAAUAGAUACAGUGGUCAUGUGCUAAGAGAUCAAAACAGCAGUCUGGUCAGUAAGAAUUUUUGUACAGGUAUACUGUGUGAGGAUUGUCACAAAGUGAGACUAUGAAGACUGGAAUAAAUACUUACAUAUUCAGUGUUCAGACACUGAUAACCACAAAAAUCAAGAACAAUUAGGGAAACAUGACAUCACCAAAAAGUCAAAUCAAGGUGCCAGUGACUUGACUCUAAAGAGACAGAGAUGUGUGAUUUUCCUGAUUAAAGAUUCAAAACAAUUGUUUCAAAAAAGCUCAGUGAUCUUCAAGAAAAUGCACAGAAGCACUUUAGAAAUUGUCAGAUAAAUUUAACAGAAAGAUUGAAAUAAUAAAAAAUAAUUAAACAGAAAUCAUAGAGCUAAAAAGUAGAAGGAAUAAAAUAAAAAAUGCAACAGCGAGCGUGAACAAUCAGAUUCAAUUCUUGUAAAACUAUCCCAAGACAUAUGAUAAUAAAACUCUCAAAGGUCAAAAAUAUGGAGAGAUUUAUAAAAGCAGCAAGUGAAAGAAAGCAAAUAACAUAUGAGAUUCCAAUACACCUGGCUGCAGACUUCUUAGCUAAGAAGGCCAGGAAGAAGUGGGAUGAUGUAUUAAAAGUACUGAAGGAAAAAAACAAACAGCCAAUCAAGAAUACUGUACCCAGCAAAGAUAGUGUUCAAAAUGAAAGAGAGACAAAUACUUCCCCAGACAAACAAAAGCUGAGGAAGUUUAUCACUACCAGAUCUGUCUUACAAGAAAUGCUAAAAAGAGAUUUUCAAACAGAAGGAAAAGGACAAUAAUGAAUAAUAUAAAAACAUCUGAAGGUAUAAAACUCACUGGCAAAAUUAAGUAUAUAAUCAAAUUCAUAAUACCCUAAUAAUGUAAUCAUAGAAUAUAAACCUCAUGUCUUUAGUAUGAAAAUGAAAAGACAAAACUAUUAAAAUAAUAACUAUAACUGGUUAUGGAAUAUGCAAUCAAAAAGCUGUAAAUUGUAAUAUCAAAAAUUCAAAAUGUGGAAGUGGA